This 345-nucleotide ribosomal RNA is filed under the name uncultured bacterium. Its description in RNAcentral is "bacterial SSU rRNA". It matches the Rfam family "Bacterial small subunit ribosomal RNA", at positions 1 to 334 of the family's 1533-position model. The record is from RNAcentral.
CUGUACAGUUCAGAGUUUGAUCCUGGCUCAGAGUGAACGCUGGCGGCGUGCUUAACACAUGCAAGUCGAACGAGAACGGAUUAUAGCUUGCUAUAAUUGUCAGCUAAGUGGCGCACGGGUGAGUAAUAUAUAGAUAACCUGCCCUCUAGAAAGGAAUAACAGUUGGAAACGACUGCUAAUGCCCUAUAUGCCUUUAAUACAUAAGUAUGCAAGGGAAACGCUUUAGUGCUAGAGGAUGGGUCUGUAUGGUAUCAGCUUGUUGGUGAGGUAAUGGCUCACCAAGGCUAUGACGCCUAACUGGUUUGAGAGGAUGAUCAGUCACACUGGAACUGAGACACGGUCCAG